This 253-nucleotide ribosomal RNA is filed under the name uncultured bacterium. Its description in RNAcentral is "partial 16S ribosomal RNA". It matches the Rfam family "Bacterial small subunit ribosomal RNA", at positions 524 to 776 of the family's 1533-position model. The record is from RNAcentral.
GACAGAGGGGGCAAGCGUUGCUCGGAAUUACUGGGCGUAAAGGGCGCGUAGGCGGGAUGGCAAGUCGGUCGUGAAAGCCUUCGGCUCAACCGAAGAACGUCGGCCGAUACUGCCGUUCUUGAGGGAUGCAGAGGAGACUGGAAUUCAUGGUGUAGCAGUGAAAUGCGUAGAGAUCAUGAGGAAGACCAGUGGCGAAGGCGGGUCUCUGGACAGUUCCUGACACUGAGGCACGAAGGCCAGGGGAGCAAACGGG